AACGGUCUAUACCUGCGGUACCUGCGGAGGGAUCAUCGUUGAAUAUUUAUUUGACAGAAGAGUAGUUUGAGAGGGGGAGGGAGGGGGGGUUUGGAAGCUCUGAAUUCCGUUUCCUGAACUUUGAUGGCUACCUUCUGGACAAAAACAACACAACCAAUCUACAUGACUAGGAAAGAGCAUACGCUGGUUUGGCACUGGUUUGUGGGGGGGAAAGAUACACACAAGUUCUUGUCUGACAAG
Molecule: unclassified non-coding RNA, 240 nt
Filed under: soil metagenome
Description: partial contains 5.8S ribosomal RNA, internal transcribed spacer 2, and large subunit ribosomal RNA
Source: RNAcentral